This 64-nucleotide transfer RNA is filed under the name Macropsis notata. RNAcentral's name for it is "tRNA-Thr". It matches the Rfam family "tRNA". From Rfam's summary of the family: Transfer RNA (tRNA) molecules are approximately 80 nucleotides in length. Lineage: Eukaryota; Metazoa; Arthropoda; Insecta; Hemiptera; Cicadellidae. The record is from RNAcentral.
GUUUUGAUAGUUUAAAUUAAAAACAUUAAUUUUGUAAAUUAAAGUUAGAAGACUCUUUGAAACA